AACGAACGCUGGCGGCAUGCCUAACACAUGCAAGUCGAACGAGACCUUCGGGUCUAGUGGCGCACGGGUGCGUAACGCGUGGGAACCUGCCCUUAGGUUCGGAAGAACUCCCCGAAAGGGGUGCUAAUACCGGAUAAUGUCUUCGGACCAAAGAUUUAUCGCCUUUGGAUGGGCCCGCGUUGUAUUAGCUAGUUGGUAGGGUAAAAGCCUACCAAGGCGACGAUCCAUAGCUGGUCUGAGAGGAUGAUCAGCCACACUGGGACUGAGACACGGCCCAGACUACUACGGGAGGGAGCAGUGGGGAAUAUUGGAAAAUGGGCGAAAGCCUGAUCCAGCAAUGCCGCGUGAGUGAUGAAGGCCUUAGGGUUGUAAAGCUAUUUUACACGGGAUGAUAAUGACAGUACCGGGAGAAUAAGCUCCGGCUAACUCCGUG
RNAcentral lists this ribosomal RNA (433 nucleotides) under uncultured bacterium. RNAcentral describes it as "partial 16S ribosomal RNA". It matches the Rfam family "Bacterial small subunit ribosomal RNA", at positions 29 to 507 of the family's 1533-position model. The record is from RNAcentral.